CAGCCGCCGCGGUAAUUCCGGCGGCCCGAGUGGCGGCCACUCUUAUUGGGCUUAAAGCGUCCGUAGCCGGGUUGGUUAGUCUCCCGGGAAAUCUGGCCGCUUAACGGUCAGAAUUCCGGGAGAUACUGCCAGCCUAGGGACCGGGAGAGGCCGAGGGUAUUCCCGGAGUAGGGGUGAAAUCCUAUAAUCCCGGGAGGACCACCUGUGGCGAAGGCGCUCGGCUGGAACGGGUCCGACGGUGAGGGACGAAGGCCAGGGGAGCAAACCGGAUUAGAUACCCGGGUAGUCCUGGCUGUAAACGAUGCGGACUUUGUGUCGGACAAGCUAUGAGCUUGUCCGGUGCCGGAGGGAAACCGUUAAGUCCGCCGCCUGGGGAGUACGGCCGCAAGGCUGAAACUUAAAGGAAUUGGCGGG
RNAcentral lists this ribosomal RNA (414 nucleotides) under uncultured microorganism. RNAcentral describes it as "bacterial SSU rRNA". It matches the Rfam family "Archaeal small subunit ribosomal RNA", at positions 459 to 872 of the family's 1478-position model. The record is from RNAcentral.